UACGAAGGGGGCUAGCGUUGUUCGGAAUUACUGGGCGUAAAGCGCGCGCAGGCGGUCUUCCAAGUCAGUGGUGAAAGCCCGGAGCUCAACUCCGGAACUGCCAUUGAAACUGUUAGACUUGAGGGUGAGAGAGGUGAGUGGAAUUCCCAGUGUAGAGGUGAAAUUCGUAGAUAUUGGGAAGAACACCGGUGGCGAAGGCGGCUCACUGGCUCAUUACUGACGCUCAGGCGCGAUAGCGUGGGGAUCAAACAGG
Molecule: ribosomal RNA, 253 nt
Filed under: uncultured bacterium
Lineage: Bacteria
Description: partial 16S ribosomal RNA
Rfam family: Bacterial small subunit ribosomal RNA
Source: RNAcentral